UUCUUAAUCGUAUAUAGUAAAUUGAAUUUCUAAAAUAUUUCAUAGAUAGUUUUUUGAUUUUUAACAUUUUUUUUGACUUCUCUAUCUAAAUAACAUGUAAAAUUGUUAUUAAUUGUAUAACAUCCGGAAGAAAAUGGAACGAUUGAGAAGAAUCUUUAAAUAUUCUUAUAUUU
This is a long non-coding RNA of Apis dorsata (giant honeybee), 173 nucleotides long. RefSeq lists it as uncharacterized. Lineage: Eukaryota; Metazoa; Arthropoda; Insecta; Hymenoptera; Apidae. The transcript is spliced from 4 exons. The record is from RefSeq and is a predicted model, not a curated record.